GUGCACAACUACAUAGAACGGGGUGGCAAAAUGCGAUCCGCGUAGCUUUCUUCUUGGCAUUUACUUAGCAACAAAACAAAAAAGAGUUGGUUAUUUAAAUUGCCCUUUGUUAAGUACUUAAUCUAUGCCCAUAUUUUAAUAAUGCCAAGGAAAUAUUGAAUUUGGAUGUGGCUUAUUAAAUAGUAUAGCAGUAAAGUCCGGUUUGCGGUGGGCUGGGGAAACGAGGACGGCGCGGCGGUAUUCGUCACCGACGUAGAAAAUGGCGACUAAAUACCAACAAUUACAUCGCGCGACUGAACGUCAAUGUGAAUUAAUUUCUAUUAAAAAUGCUUAAUAUACAAAAAGGAAUACAAGUAGAUCUAAUUCAAA
This is a long non-coding RNA of Galleria mellonella (greater wax moth), 369 nucleotides long. RefSeq lists it as uncharacterized. The transcript is spliced from 2 exons. The record is from RefSeq and is a predicted model, not a curated record. NCBI's taxonomy places the organism in Eukaryota, Metazoa, Arthropoda, Insecta, Lepidoptera, Pyralidae.